Molecule: ribosomal RNA, 497 nt
Filed under: uncultured bacterium
Lineage: Bacteria
Description: partial 16S ribosomal RNA
Rfam family: Bacterial small subunit ribosomal RNA
Source: RNAcentral
GAUGAACGCUGGCGGCGUGCCUAAUACAUGCAAGUCGAGCGAACAGACGAGGAGCUUGCUCCUCUUACGUUAGCGGCGGACGGGUGAGUAACACGUGGAUAACCUACCUAUAAGACUGGGAUAACUUCGGGAAACCGGAGCUAAUACCGGAUAAUAUAUUGAACCGCAUGGUUCAAUAGUGAAAGACGGUUUUGCUGUCACUUAUAGAUGGAACCGCGCCGCAUUAGCUAGGUGGUACGGUAACGGCUUACCAAGGCUACGAUGCGUAGCCGACCUGAGAGGGUGAUCGGCCACACUGGAACUGAGACACGGUCCAGACUCCUAAGGGAGGCAGCAGUAGGGAAUCUUCCGCAAUGGGCGAAAGCCUGACGGAGCAAAGCCGCGUGAGUGAUGAAGGUCUUCGGAUCGUAAAACUCUGUUAUUAGGGAAGAACAAAUGUGUAAGUAACUAUGCACGUCUUGACGGUACCUAAUCAGAAAGCCACGGCUAACUACGUG